This 285-nucleotide unclassified non-coding RNA is filed under the name plant metagenome. RNAcentral's name for it is "partial contains small subunit ribosomal RNA and internal transcribed spacer 1". The stretch from base 1 to 46 matches the Rfam family "Eukaryotic small subunit ribosomal RNA", at positions 1786 to 1831 of the family's 1831-position model. The record is from RNAcentral.
AAGUCGUAACAAGGUUUCCGUAGGUGAACCUGCGGAAGGAUCAUUACAGCUGUAUAAGUCCUAUACACAGUAUACUGUGGGUCCUGGAUAAAAAACCGUCGGAUAGCAGCCUUAAAACAGCUGCUCUUCUAUGUGGCCCGCAAGGGAGUCCAGUACCGCCAACCUUGCUAAAAUUAAAAAAAGUCGUUGCCUCGGCGGGUUUGCCUGCCGGCGGAUAAAAAACUUAAACUCUUUUUUCACAUUGAUAAUGUAACAGUCUGAGUAAAUAUUUAAUAAAUAUUAAAA